AUGGUCUGGCAGGCUCCGUGCUUCGGCAUCGAACUGUUGGCUCCAUACCCCUCGUCAGUGAUGCAACAAGAUUUUCUUGUGCUAGCAACGGAUUCCUGUUUUGGCUACCUAUUGUAACGGAAUGGCGCUUCUCGAUGUCCCUUUCCUUCUCUCGCCCUCUCAGGGCUGUAGGAGGACACUGUAGCGGCUCUCGUGUCCCGAUCAAGCCAUGCAUUGUCGUGAGAUUGUGACGGUCCACGAGUUGUUGCUCGACUUCUCGGAUGCGGAACAUAAAGCCGACGUUGGGGGUCUUUGACCCUCGAUUGUCCAAUCGAUAGCCUUUGUCGCUUUACACGCACGACAGCCGCGCUCGCUGAGAGCUCCUCCGGCCCACAAGGUCGUUGGUUCUUGCACGGGCGUCGGCGUCGGAAAGGAAUGCUACCUGGUU
Molecule: unclassified non-coding RNA, 427 nt
Filed under: Lyonothamnus floribundus
Lineage: Eukaryota; Viridiplantae; Streptophyta; Magnoliopsida; Rosales; Rosaceae
Description: partial external transcribed spacer
Source: RNAcentral